Molecule: ribosomal RNA, 468 nt
Filed under: uncultured bacterium
Lineage: Bacteria
Description: partial 16S ribosomal RNA
Rfam family: Bacterial small subunit ribosomal RNA
Source: RNAcentral
GACGAACGCUGGCGGCGUGCUUAACACAUGCAAGUCGAACGGAAAGGCCCUGCUUUUGUGGGGUGCUCGAGUGGCGAACGGGUGAGUAACACGUGAGUAACCUGCCCUUGACUUUGGGAUAACUUCAGGAAACUGGGGCUAAUACCGGAUAGGAGCUCCUGCUGCAUGGUGGGGGUUGGAAAGUUUCGGCGGUUGGGGAUGGACUCGCGGCUUAUCAGCUUGUUGGUGGGGUAGUGGCUUACCAAGGCUUUGACGGGUAGCCGGCCUGAGAGGGUGACCGGCCACAUUGGGACUGAGAUACGGCCCAGACUCCUACGGGAGGCAGCAGUGGGGUAUAUUGCACAAUGGGCGGAAGCCUGAUGCAGCAACGCCGCGUGCGGGAUGACGGCCUUCGGGUUGGAAACCGCUUUCGCCUGUGACGAAGCGUGAGUGACGGUAAUGGGUAAAGAAGCACCGGCUAGCUACGUG